Molecule: ribosomal RNA, 253 nt
Filed under: uncultured bacterium
Lineage: Bacteria
Description: partial 16S ribosomal RNA
Rfam family: Bacterial small subunit ribosomal RNA
Source: RNAcentral
UACGGAGGGUGCAAGCGUUAAUCGGAAUUACUGGGCGUAAAGCGUGCGUAGGCGGUGAUUUAAGUCAGAUGUGAAAGCCCCGGGCUUAACCUGGGAACGGCAUUUGAUACUGGGUCACUUGAGUGUGGUAGAGGAGAGCGGAAUUUCCGGUGUAGCGGUGAAAUGCGUAGAUAUCGGAAGGAACACCAGUGGCGAAAGCGGCUUCCUGGUCCAGCACCGACGUUCAGGCACGAAAGCGUGGGGAGCAAACAGG